This 1720-nucleotide ribosomal RNA is filed under the name Salmonella enterica subsp. enterica serovar Enteritidis. RNAcentral's name for it is "partial 23S ribosomal RNA". It matches the Rfam family "Bacterial large subunit ribosomal RNA", at positions 1100 to 2802 of the family's 2925-position model. The record is from RNAcentral. Lineage: Bacteria; Pseudomonadati; Pseudomonadota; Gammaproteobacteria; Enterobacterales; Enterobacteriaceae.
GUUGGCUUAGAAGCAGCCAUCAUUUAAAGAAAGCGUAAUAGCUCACUGGUCGAGUCGGCCUGCGCGGAAGAUGUAACGGGGCUAAACCAUGCACCGAAGCUGCGGCAGCGACGCUUAUGCGUUGUUGGGUAGGGGAGCGUUCUGUAAGCCUGCGAAGGUGGCCUGUGAGGGUUGCUGGAGGUAUCAGAAGUGCGAAUGCUGACAUAAGUAACGAUAAAGCGGGUGAAAAGCCCGCUCGCCGGAAGACCAAGGGUUCCUGUCCAACGUUAAUCGGGGCAGGGUGAGUCGACCCCUAAGGCGAGGCCGAAAGGCGUAGUCGAUGGGAAACGGGUUAAUAUUCCCGUACUUGGUGUUACUGCGAAGGGGGGACGGAGAAGGCUAUGUUGGCCGGGCGACGGUUGUCCCGGUUUAAGCGUGUAGGUGUGUGUUCCAGGUAAAUCCGGUUCACUUUAACACUGAGGCGUGACGACGAGGCACUACGGUGCUGAAGCAACAAAUGCCCUGCUUCCAGGAAAAGCCUCUAAGCAUCAGGUAACAUCAAAUCGUACCCCAAACCGACACAGGUGGUCAGGUAGAGAAUACCAAGGCGCUUGAGAGAACUCGGGUGAAGGAACUAGGCAAAAUGGUGCCGUAACUUCGGGAGAAGGCACGCUGACACGUAGGUGAAGUGAUUUACUCAUGGAGCUGAAGUCAGUCGAAGAUACCAGCUGGCUGCAACUGUUUAUUAAAAACACAGCACUGUGCAAACACGAAAGUGGACGUAUACGGUGUGACGCCUGCCCGGUGCCGGAAGGUUAAUUGAUGGGGUCAGCGCAAGCGAAGCUCCUGAUCGAAGCCCCGGUAAACGGCGGCCGUAACUAUAACGGUCCUAAGGUAGCGAAAUUCCUUGUCGGGUAAGUUCCGACCUGCACGAAUGGCGUAAUGAUGGCCAGGCUGUCUCCACCCGAGACUCAGUGAAAUUGAACUCGCUGUGAAGAUGCAGUGUACCCGCGGCAAGACGGAAAGACCCCGUGAACCUUUACUAUAGCUUGACACUGAACAUUGAGCCUUGAUGUGUAGGAUAGGUGGGAGGCUUUGAAGUGUGGACGCCAGUCUGCAUGGAGCCGACCUUGAAAUACCACCCUUUAAUGUUUGAUGUUCUAACGUGGACCCGUUACCCGGGUUGCGGACAGUGUCUGGUGGGUAGUUUGACUGGGGCGGUCUCCUCCUAAAGAGUAACGGAGGAGCACGAAGGUUGGCUAAUCCUGGUCGGACAUCAGGAGGUUAGUGCAAUGGCAUAAGCCAGCUUGACUGCGAGCGUGACGGCGCGAGCAGGUGCGAAAGCAGGUCAUAGUGAUCCGGUGGUUCUGAAUGGAAGGGCCAUCGCUCAACGGAUAAAAGGUACUCCGGGGAUAACAGGCUGAUACCGCCCAAGAGUUCAUAUCGACGGCGGUGUUUGGCACCUCGAUGUCGGCUCAUCACAUCCUGGGGCUGAAGUAGGUCCCAAGGGUAUGGCUGUUCGCCAUUUAAAGUGGUACGCGAGCUGGGUUUAGAACGUCGUGAGACAGUUCGGUCCCUAUCUGCCGUGGGCGCUGGAGAACUGAGGGGGGCUGCUCCUAGUACGAGAGGACCGGAGUGGACGCAUCACUGGUGUUCGGGUUGUCAUGCCAAUGGCACUGCCCGGUAGCUAAAUGCGGAAGAGAUAAGUGCUGAAAGCAUCUAAGCACGAAACUUGCCCCGA